UAUGAAGGCGGGCUGGAAUCUCUCGGGGUUACAGCCUUGCUGAAUUAUUCACCCUUGUCUUUUGCGUACUUCUUGUUUCCUUGGUGGGUUCGCCCACCACUAGGACAAACAUAAACCUUUUGUAAUUGCAAUCAGCGUCAGUAACAAAUUAAUAAUUACAACUUUCAACAACGGAUCUCUUGGUUCUGGCAUCGAUGAAGAACGCAGCGAAAUGCGAUAAGUAGUGUGAAUUGCAGAAUUCAGUGAAUCAUCGAAUCUUUGAACGCACAUUGCGCCCUUUGGUAUUCCAAAGGGCAUGCCUGUUCGAGCGUCAUUUGUACCCUCAAGCUUUGCUUGGUGUUGGGCGUCUUGUCUCUAGCUUUGCUGGAGACUCGCCUUAAAGUAAUUGGCAGCCGGCCUACUGGUUUCGGAGCGCAGCACAAGUCGCACUCUCUAUCAGCAAAGGUCUAGCAUCCAUUAAGCCUUUUUUCAACUUUUGACCUCGGAUCAGGUAGGGAUACCCGCUGAACUUAAGCAUAUCAAUAAGCGGAGGAA
This 534-nucleotide ribosomal RNA is filed under the name Alternaria alternata. Its description in RNAcentral is "eukaryotic LSU rRNA". The stretch from base 160 to 313 matches the Rfam family "5.8S ribosomal RNA". The record is from RNAcentral. Lineage: Eukaryota; Fungi; Ascomycota; Dothideomycetes; Pleosporales; Pleosporaceae. RNAcentral also lists the same sequence under 5 other names.